RNA transcript from Elaeis guineensis (African oil palm), 4193 nucleotides. It is a transcript of the gene named protein ARABIDILLO 1, with no coding region annotated. NCBI's taxonomy places the organism in Eukaryota, Viridiplantae, Streptophyta, Magnoliopsida, Arecales, Arecaceae. The record is from RefSeq and is a predicted model, not a curated record.
AGAAGACCAGCCCAACACAUAAUAAUACCCCUCUCCUACAUCUCAUAUAAAUAUAUAUAUAGCUCUCGUUCUCUCUCCCGUCUUCCGGAGAACGAAAGAACCCCAGAGAGAACAGGGAGGCGGAUCAAUGCUGUGAGGGUUCCACCUCCAUCCCCUCCUCACCCCACCCCAAUCCCUCUCAUCUUCUAUAUAACCUCCCCUCCUCCCUUCCUCACUCUCCUCCCCUUGUAGAAGUCCACCAUUGCCCCCUCCUCUAUACGAUUGAAACCAAGCGCCCGUCCUAAUCCCUCACCUUCAAGGACACCAUCUCCAGGUACCCCUCAACCCAGCGCUUCUUCCUAUAUUUUUAGUUCUCCAUCGAUCUCCCAAGAAAGUGUAGAGAGUUCGCCCGCACAAACGAACGGAAACCCUCAAAAGAUUUCUUAGAAAAUCCGUCGAAUUCUCGAAUUAUAAAGCCUUCGAGUUCCCAAAGCUUCUCUCCGCUUCUUGUUUCCCCGAAUUAGGGUUUUGCCUCCAUGAGCCGGAGGGUGAGGAGGCGAGGCGCGCAGUCGAAGGACAAGGCCAAGGUCAUCAUCUCCCCGGCCUUCCCCGAGACCGCUGAGGACUGCGAGAUCCCCCACCCCGGUGGCGGCGGCGGCGGCGGCGACGAACACCGGGUCCUGGAGACCGCUGUGGACUGGACCUCCCUCCCCGACGACACCGUGGUCCAGCUCUUCUCCUGCCUCAACUACCGGGACCGCGCCAGCCUCGCUUCCACCUGCCGAUCCUGGCGCCUUCUUGGCUCCACCCCCUGCCUCUGGACCAGUCUUGACCUCCGCUCCCACCGCUGCGACCCCGACACUGCUGCCGCACUUGCCGGCCGGUGCGCCCACCUCCGCCACCUCCACUUCCGGGGCGCAGAUGCUGCUGCUGCUGUCAUGAACCUCCAGGCCCGCGGACUGCAAGAGAUUGCCGGGGAGAACUGCUGUGACAUCACCGACGCCACGCUGUCGGUGAUUGCUGCCCGCCACGAGGCCCUUGAGAGCCUCCAGAUCGCUCCUGACCCGUGCGAGAGAAUCACCAGCGAUGCUAUCCGUCAUGUUGCCAUGUGCUGCACGAAGUUGAGGAGGCUGCGCCUCUCCGGCAUCCGAGAGGUUGACGGAGAGGCGGUUGGGGCCCUUGCAAGGCACUGCCCGCAGUUGGAGGAGAUUGCCUUCUUGGAUUGUGGGAGCAUCGACGAGACUGCUCUUGGGAAGGUCGUGUCCCUGAGAUUCUUAUCCGUGGCAGGUUCACGGAACUUGAAGUGGGUUACUGCCUCCCUUUCCUGGAGCAAGCUUCCGAACUUGAUUGGUUUGGAUAUUUCAAGGACCGACGUGUCCCCAAGUGCCGUCUCAAGGCUUCUCUCCCUGUCCAAAAGCUUGAAGGUGUUGUGCGCUCUCAACUGUGCGGCACUCGAGGAGGAAGGGAGUCACAGUCCGAUGGCAUUUAGCAAUACCAGGGGCAAGCUGCUGCUUGCCCUUUUCAAUGAUAUAUUCAAAGGGAUUGCUUCUUUGUUCAAGGGUUUUGUGGUAAAGGAGCGGGGAAUCUUUGGGGAAUGGAGGAGUUGGCAAAAUAAGGAUAAGAACCUGAAUGAUAUCAUGAGCUGGAUUGAGUGGAUCCUGUCGCAAUCACUGCUUCGUAUUGCGGAGACAAACCCACAUGGCAUUGAUGAGUUUUGGUUAAGGCAAGGUGCUGCAUUGUUGCUGAGCUUGGUGAAGAGCUCGCAGGAGGAUGUGCAAGAGAGAGCAGCAACUGGGCUUGCUACAUUUGUGGUGAUUGAUGAUGAGAAUGCAACGGUGGACCCGGCGAGGGCAGAGGUGGUGAUGCGGAAUGGUGGGAUUCCUUUGCUUUUGGAGCUUGCAACAUCUUGUCGGGAAGGUUUACAGUCUGAAGCUGCAAAGGCCAUUGCGAACUUGUCAGUGAAUGCCAAAGUUGCGAAAGCAGUUGCUGAUGAAGGGGGUAUCAGCAUUCUUGCAGAUCUGGCAAGAUCCUUGAACAGGUUAGUUGCUGAAGAGGCUGCCGGAGGGCUUUGGAAUCUUUCUGUGGGAGAAGAGCACAAGGCGGCCAUUGCUGAGGCUGGUGGGGUAAAAGCUUUGGUGGAUCUUAUUUUCAAAUGGCCCUCUGGGAUAGAUGGAGUUCUUGAACGUGCUGCUGGUGCCCUUGCAAAUUUGGCUGCUGAUGACAAGUGCAGCAUGGAGGUUGCUGUGGCUGGGGGUGUCCAUGCAUUAGUAAAGCUUGCUCGGUUGUGCAAGGUUGAGGGAGUACAAGAACAGGCUGCUCGGGCUUUAGCUAAUCUGGCUGCUCAUGGAGAUAGCAAUAAUAAUAAUGCUGCUGUUGGUCAAGAGGCGGGUGCGCUUGAGGCAUUGGUGCAGCUAACUUGUUCACAAAAUGAAGGUGUAAGACAAGAAGCUGCUGGUGCUUUGUGGAAUUUAUCAUUUGAUGAUAGAAAUCGAGAAGCAAUUGCUGCAGUUGGUGGGGUUGAAGCCUUGGUGGCUCUUGCACAAGGAUGCUCAAAUGCUUCUCAAGGACUUCAAGAGAGGGCUGCAGGUGCUUUGUGGGGAUUGUCGGUAUCAGAAGCUAAUAGCAUUGCCAUUGGACGACAAGGUGGUGUUGCACCUCUAAUUGCAUUGGCACGGUCGGAUGCUGAAGAUGUUCAUGAGACUGCUGCUGGUGCACUUUGGAAUCUUGCUUUUAAUUCUGGUAAUGCUCUUCGCAUAGUUGAAGAAGGGGGGGUUCCAGCCCUUGUACACCUGUGCACAUCAUCAGGAUCAAAAAUGGCUCGUUUUAUGGCUGCAUUGGCACUUGCUUACAUGUUUGAUGGGAGAAUGGAUGAGGUUGCAUUGGUUGGGGCUUCUUCAGAAGGUGCUUCGAAGAAUGUUAACUUUGAUGCUGCUCGAAGGAUGGCAUUGAAGCAUAUAAAAGACUUGGUGCUGUCGUUUUCGGAGCCACAACUCUUCUCCAUGGCUGCAGCAUCCUCAGCUCCUGCAGCCUUGGCACAGGUAGCUGAAGCAGCACGCAUACAGGAAGCAGGACAUCUGAGAUGCAGUGGUGCCGAGAUUGGGAGAUUUGUUGCCAUGCUGCGGAACCCAUCAUCCAUUCUUCGAGCCUGUGCAGCUUUUGCUCUUCUUCAGUUCACCAUCCCAGGAGGCAGGCACGCAAUGCAUCAUGCGGGCCUCUUGCAGAAAGCUGGAGCAGCACGGGUCCUACGUGCUGCUGCUGCAGCUGCAACAGCUCCUAUUGAAGCGAAAAUUUUUGCAAGGAUAGUGCUCAGGAAUCUUGAACACCACCAGCUGGAAGCUUCAAUAUAAAGUUUGACAUAAAGAAAGUUUACUUCAGCAUUUAGCAUCAGCGGUCGAACUCUUUAUUCUGCCAUGCACGAGUUGAAAUGGUGCCGGGAUUUGAAUUCUCCUCUCUGAAAAUGCAGAUUCCUUGGUUACUGAAGCUUCUGUUCCUCAAUGGGGUUUGGCUUUCCUCCAUUAAACCGGUUCAUAUCCUGAGACCUAGAUCCUUGACAAAUAGAAUUGAGUUGGGGCUUGCUUGUUCUUGUUAAUUAGGUAUUUAUUAAAUUGGCUUGGCUUGUGUGUGAUGAUUAGGGUGUGUGGUGCAUUUUUUUCUAUUUAUUUGGAGUGUAAAAGAAGGUGCUGGCUGUUCAAGAAUACCAGUAUCUACUGAUUUAUUUCACAAGGUUCCUUCAGACAUUUUAUACAAGCGAGCAUGGAAAUCUCUGGUCUGUAUGCUUGCUUUCAAGACUGACUUAUCUUUGAAGAUUGGUUUCCCUCGGCUUAUAUCAUUGCUAAAGUUCUGAUUACUUCUUCUGAUGCCGGUUAUAAUUCAUGACUGGUCUUCCUGGUUUGGUGGGGGGAGGCUGCAAGUGACAGAUUUAACUUGAGAUCGAAACCCAUCUCUGGUGUUAUGUAUAAGAUUCAAAUAGUGACAUGAUCCUGUGAGGGCAAGGUUUGGUUAUGUAUAAGAUUCAAAUAGUGACGCGAUCCUUAACGAUUUGUUGUGGCCUUUUACAUUGUUAAGGCCAGGACUCUGCACUCCCUGCAAAUAAGGGGAACGUUCACGGUUGUAUAUGAAUGUUCCAUGUUUGGUCCUAUUAGCGUCACUUUUGUUUGCUGGCGUUACAGGCUUAUGUGAUCGGUUAAAUAUGAGAAUGGGAGCAAUAUUUGACC